Molecule: long non-coding RNA, 1286 nt
Organism: Gadus macrocephalus (Pacific cod)
Lineage: Eukaryota; Metazoa; Chordata; Actinopteri; Gadiformes; Gadidae
Exons: 2
Source: RefSeq, a predicted model, not a curated record
CAUUGUUAUGUUCAAAACCGCCCAAGCAUUUCUCAAGCGAGACGUGGCAGAACACGGUUUAAUUGGCAGAGGUGACGGCGGUAAAUUGAAAUCCUAAAUCAAUUUACGUCGAUUUAGGAUUUUACAGCUAGGAUUGCUGCUCUCUUGAGUCCUCUCAAUACGGCUCUCAGCAUCGCCAAAUAAACAUCCCAUGAUGCAUUCUGCUGUACAAGCCCCAUAUAGCCUUAUAGAGGAAGGGGAAUCCACACAAAUUGUUUGAUCAACUCCUCAAGAGUAGUGGGGGGAAGGAGACAGAGGUUUGGCAGGGAGGAGGAGGAGGAGGAGGAGGAGGAGGAGGAGGCGGAGGAGGAGGAGGAAGAGGUGGAGGAGGAGGAGGAGGAGGAGGAGGAGAAAACCAGGAUGACGGAGAGAACAUGCCCUGAGUGUUGGCCCCUGCUCCCCAACAACAGGUGUAUAAGGGCCCCUCUCCACAGCCUGGCCCCCUCAAAGCCUUUCCAAGUGAAUAAAGGGCGACCAGGGUUUACACUCAACACUGGGUUCCUCGCUCUCGCACUCUCUGUCUCCUCCUAUCAGCCGUCUCUAGGGCAGCCUCCCCGUGGGGGGGUAGGGGAGAUGGGAGCCAGGGGGUAACGUGGCGGCCAUGCUCUGAUCUGACGGUGCCUGUGAAGAUCUGAGGGGAGGUUCCAGCCGUAUGGCCGCAGCGCAGCCACUUCCUGCUUUAAACACACACACACACACACACACACACACACACACACACACACACACACACACACACACACACACACACACACACACACACACACACACACACACACACACACACAGAUUGACACACAUACACAGACAGCCACAGACACACAUACAUUCAGUCACACACACACACACAUUAACAGACAAACGCACAUAGACACACAUAGUCAGACACGCACACACACACACACACAAACACACACACACAAAAACAGACAGACAAACACAAAUACAGACCAACACACAUAGACAAAUGUCCAGUCAGACACACACACACACACACACACACACACACACACACACACACCAACACCAGCACACGCACACAGAUAGACACAUAAACACAGACACACACAGAUAGACACAUAACAGAGACAGACAAAAACACAUAGACACACAUACAGUCAGUCAAACACACACACACACACACACACACACACACACACACACACACACACACACACACACACACACACACACACACACACACACACACACACACACACACACACACACACACAUUAACAGACAAA